This 194-nucleotide ribosomal RNA is filed under the name uncultured bacterium. Its description in RNAcentral is "partial 16S rRNA". It matches the Rfam family "Bacterial small subunit ribosomal RNA", at positions 338 to 524 of the family's 1533-position model. The record is from RNAcentral.
CCUACGGGAGGCAGCAGUAGGGAAUCUUCCGCAAUGGACGAAAGCCUGACGGAGCACCGCCGCGUGAGUGAUGAAGGUUUUCGGAUCGUAAAGCUCUGUUGCCAGGGAAGAACGUCUUGUAGAGUAACUGCUAUAAGAGUGACGGUUCCUGACAAGAAAGCCCCGGCUAACUACAUGCCAGCAGCCGCGGUAAU